UUUGGGUGCUAUGUUGCUUUGAAUGAAAGCUUCUACUAAAUCAUUAUACAUACACUUAUUUGACAUACUCUGAUCAAUAUAAUUACAGUAAAUUCCCUUUGAGAAAAGGUCCAAAGUGCUUUGUAGUUGUCAUACCCAGUACAAAUAUCUUCAAUAUUCCCGCUGUACACAUUUCUAAAUACGCAAAGAAUGGAAUGCAAGACAUUAAGUGCUGUUCUCUGGAGUCUGACUGGAUCUACUUCCAUCGUGAUGACUCAGGAAUAAUCAUCCAUGUUGCACCAUAAAGUGAGUCUAAAACCCCCCAACACAGUUGUCCACAAGACCAUGCAGUCACUGCGGCAUUAUGGUAUUUAGGUCAGUGCUAUUCAUCAGUCAGAUUUCACACAAUGAUAUUUCUCCUAUACCUUGUCUGAAUCUUGAAAUACUUUCCCCUUGUGUGCUGAAAAUUCUGAGUGAACUGGAGAGUGAGUCACAGUUCGAUAUAGUGAAGGAGUUUCCCAUCACAGCUCAUCGAGAUGAUGUGAGUUAACAUAGUGUUUUGGCACCUUUUUAUCCAUUGGUCAUAAUACAUUUUCUCCAUCAUAGAGAUAUGAGGGUUAAAAGUGCCUUUCUUGCUGUACUGGAUUCAUAAAACACCUCCAUAGGCUACCUCCCAGAUCAGUAUCACAAGUGUGUGGUGUGAAAUAGGAAUGUGUUUUUUGCAUAUCCUGUGAAGAGUUUACACAAAUAUUAGCCUCUUAGCUCUUAUUGCGGGACCUUGAAACCACUGAAACGAGCAACAUUAAACUCACCAGUCAGCAUAUUGUUGCUCAUUUCAGUGGUUUCAAGGUCCCGCAAUAAGAGCUAAGACGCUAAUAUUUGUGUAAACUCUACAUAGUUGUGUUCUGUGAGUGUCACUGAGUAGGUAAUGAUUAAAACCGGGUGCCAAUUGAAUUCGGCCAUUCCUCCAUCCCAUGCUAAAUCUUACUUGAAGUAGAAUACCCAUCUCAAAACAAAAAUUAUCCAAACAAAACCGACGGACACAGCAGCGGACAGCGCGAACAGGAAUUGCUUGAAAUUCUUCAUCGCCAACACUGGAAAGGUUGCCUCACUGAAGUUAAUACAUUCUGGAUGGUGGAGAAUGAGCUUGACCUUCUGGCUAUUGUGGAGGUGACCCACAGAGAGGAUGAGGGGAAAGCCCACGUUAGACUCCACGACAACAACACUGGCGCAUUACUGAAGAGGGUUCCGCUUGUGGAGUCAUGGGAUGUGACUUACAGCUACAAUUUGUUCUUUGACAGAGAUACAAUUCUUUAUAUUGAACAGAUUAAGAAUAAUAACUUUUGCUGCCAUGUCUACAAAAUCAUCAGUCGUGGACAAGCAGAUGAGUGAAAUGAUCACCUGAAGCUGGGAUAAAUCAUGGGACAUUCCUUCCAACUGCUAAUUAUGUAAUUAAAAAAUAUUCCUAAAGUAAAUAGCCCUGUUGAAUAUGUUUUUCUACUUAUUUUUUCCCGCUUAUUUCUUUGCCAAUAAUGACUACAUGUUGUCAUCCUGUUCUUUUCAAGAUGU
This is a long non-coding RNA of Coregonus clupeaformis (lake whitefish), 1548 nucleotides long. RefSeq lists it as uncharacterized. The transcript is spliced from 3 exons. The record is from RefSeq and is a predicted model, not a curated record. NCBI's taxonomy places the organism in Eukaryota, Metazoa, Chordata, Actinopteri, Salmoniformes, Salmonidae.